CUCUAGUGUCCUUUACAUCACUUUAUGUUGCAAACUUAUGCAAUCACAUUCUUUACAUUUCAUUGCUCUUGUUAACUCUAGCAUUUUCUUGUUCGUUACAUUUCUUGUUCUUAUUGCCUCACUUUACUUUAACUUUACACAUCGUCAUCUACAUCAUUCUUUACAUCUCUUUGGUUCUUUGCUUCACACUACCUCUAGUGUCUUUUUACUUUACAUUUUCAAAU
RNAcentral lists this long non-coding RNA (224 nucleotides) under Ananas comosus (pineapple). RNAcentral's name for it is "long non-coding RNA (ACOM_LNC040046)". The record is from RNAcentral. Lineage: Eukaryota; Viridiplantae; Streptophyta; Magnoliopsida; Poales; Bromeliaceae.